UGGGGUUCAUUAUAAUCUUAACAAAUAUAAGAUACAGCAUAUGAUGAAACAUAAAUGCCUUUCUUUAUUAAUAACAUGUCAUGUAUAUGAGCAGAAAGAUCAAAGAAAAUUUCUCACAAUACAAAUUGUGAUUGGCUUGUAGGACAAUAAUCUUUCAAUCUUUCACUUAUGGUAAAGCCAAUCGCGCUUAUACUUGAUACCUUUAUAAUCAAGAAGGCGAUCGAACUGCUACUAUAGUAAAG
Molecule: long non-coding RNA, 242 nt
Filed under: Elaeis guineensis (African oil palm)
Lineage: Eukaryota; Viridiplantae; Streptophyta; Magnoliopsida; Arecales; Arecaceae
Description: long non-coding RNA (EGUI_LNC065102)
Source: RNAcentral